AAUGAACGCUGGCGGCGUGCUUAACACAUGCAAGUCGAGCGAGAAAGUCGGCUUCGGCCGGCGAGUAAAGCGGCGAACGGGUGAGUAACACGUGGGUAACCUGCCUGGGAGCGGGGGAUAACCUCGGGAAACUGGGGCUAAUACCGCAUACGCUCCGAGGGCUUCGGCUCAAGGAGGAAAGCUGGCCUCUACGCGUAAGCUGGCACUCCCAGAGGGGCCCGCGUUCGAUUAGCUUGUUGGUGGGGUAACGGCCUACCAAGGCGACGAUCGAUAGCCGGCCUGAGAGGGUGAUCGGCCACACUGGGACUGAGACACGGCCCAGACUCCUACGGGAGGCAGCAGUGGGGAAUAUUGGACAAUGGGCGCAAGCCUGAUCCAGCAACGCCGCGUGGAGGAUGAAGGCUUUCGGGUCGUAAACUCCUGUCAGGUGGGACGAAAAGGCGUCGAUUAAUAACCGGCGCUGCUGACGGUACCACCAGAGGAAGCCCCGGCUAACUCCGUG
RNAcentral lists this ribosomal RNA (502 nucleotides) under uncultured bacterium. Its description in RNAcentral is "bacterial SSU rRNA". It matches the Rfam family "Bacterial small subunit ribosomal RNA", at positions 28 to 507 of the family's 1533-position model. The record is from RNAcentral.